GGGAUUUCAGAUUCUUUUCAUACUUUAAUGUUUCGGGUGAUGUCGUUCCUUUAUUUUUCCUAUUUUUCAUACAUUAAUAUGCUAGGCUAGACAUCUUUGUAUUGGAUGGAUGACAAAACUGAUUGACUCCUAGUUUUUAAUUGAAAACCUUAUGUUUUUAUCUUAAUCAUUGCGUUGUGGUUUCUUUAAUAUGCAUAUCUAUAUUGUUUUAAU
Molecule: long non-coding RNA, 213 nt
Filed under: Olea europaea (common olive)
Lineage: Eukaryota; Viridiplantae; Streptophyta; Magnoliopsida; Lamiales; Oleaceae
Description: long non-coding RNA (OEUR_LNC001388)
Source: RNAcentral